RNAcentral lists this ribosomal RNA (447 nucleotides) under uncultured bacterium. Its description in RNAcentral is "bacterial SSU rRNA". It matches the Rfam family "Bacterial small subunit ribosomal RNA", at positions 355 to 825 of the family's 1533-position model. The record is from RNAcentral.
UCGGGAAUUUUGGGCAAUGGGCGAAAGCCUGACCCAGCAACGCCGCGUGAAGGAUGAAGUAUUUCGGUAUGUAAACUUCGUAAGAAUAGGAAGAAUAAAUGACGGUACUAUUUGUAAGGUCCGGCUAACUACGUGCCAGCAGCCGCGGUAAUACGUAGGGACCAAGCGUUGUUCGGAUUUACUGGGCGUAAAGGGCGCGUAGGCGGCGUGACAAGUCACUUGUGAAAUCUCCGGGCUUAACUCGGAACUGCCAAGUGAUACUGUCGUGCUAGAGUGCAGAAGGGGCAAUCGGAAUUCUUGGUGUAGCGGUGAAAUGCGUAGAUAUCAAGAGGAACACCUGAGGUGAAGACGGGUUGCUGGGCUGACACUGACGCUGAGGCGCGAAAGCUAGGGGAGCAAACGGGAUUAGAUACCCAAGUAGUCCCUGAGCGGGCUGGCAAGGCGCAU